AAAAAUAACACACGUAUAACCUUUGAAGAAAUCUGCCACAGAGCUGGACGCUGGAUUCAAGAUGGGUUCCACAAGGAAUAAUGCUCCAGGGUUAAGAGAAAGACCUUGCAGCUUUACUGAAAGCAUCCACUUCCACAGCUUUUCCAGAAAGAACUGCUCAAUAUUCCCAGUCCCUAUGUGCUCAGUUGUGGUUCAAAGAUGUCAAAGAUGGGCUUUCUCCAAGCAUUUCUGAUGUUGUAUUGGACUUCGCAACAAGGAUAAGGCUGCUAGAGAUAGAAAAUGAUCGUGAAAGACUUUUCGCUGUGUUUCUUGUGGCCAUGCCGGCCCUCAGACAUCCCC
This 339-nucleotide long non-coding RNA is filed under the name Struthio camelus australis. RNAcentral's name for it is "lncRNA (ENSSCUG00000003063.1)". Lineage: Eukaryota; Metazoa; Chordata; Aves; Struthioniformes; Struthionidae. The record is from RNAcentral.